AUGGCGUCCCAGCUGGUUGAGAGCCACCGUGCCGGCGCCGAGGUCCACAAGGGGAACGAUAUCUGCAAGAAGAAGACCGUCGAGCUUCUCGAAGAGCUUGGCCUCCCGGGGGGCCUCUUUCCUAUGGAUGACAUCGAGGAGAAAAAGACCGUCUCCUACGACACUGAGGUGGCCGCUUUUGUGGAGAAGGGCAAGAUGAAGAAGGUCACCGGGGUCAAGAUCGAGGACCUGUACUCUUUGGUCGAGGUCUAUGUGGAUGAGUCUUCUGCUGAUGAGGUUACCAUCAAGACCGACAACGGCCUCUUUCUUAUGGAUGACAUCGAGGAGGUUAGGCACAACUGUGAGAGUGGGUUUGUGUGGAUGCUUCAGAAGAAGAAGAACGAGCACAUGUUCAACAAGCUCAACCAGACCGUCUCCUACGAUACUGAGGUGACCGCUUUUGUGGAGAAGGGCAAGAUGAAGAAGGUCACCGGGGUCAAGAUCGAGGACCUGUACUCUUUGGUCGAGGUCUAUGUGGAUGAGUCUUCUGCUGAUAAAGUUACCAUCAAGACCAACACCGGUCUGUCUGACACCCGUGAUGCGGCCGUGUUCGCUCUUGGGGAAUAG
This 606-nucleotide ribosomal RNA is filed under the name Triticum aestivum (bread wheat). Its description in RNAcentral is "partial small subunit ribosomal RNA". The record is from RNAcentral. Lineage: Eukaryota; Viridiplantae; Streptophyta; Magnoliopsida; Poales; Poaceae.